CCUCCCUGGCAAUGGGCAAAGAGAUACCUUGCUAGUGAUGGUGUUCUAUCAGUCAGGGGCAGAGCAGAUGGCAAUUCUUUGUUCAUCCUAGCUUGGUGCCUGCCUUGGUGGCUGGAGCUGUCUUAUGCUUAGGACUCAUAA
This is a non-coding RNA of Mus musculus (house mouse), 141 nucleotides long. NCBI's taxonomy places the organism in Eukaryota, Metazoa, Chordata, Mammalia, Rodentia, Muridae. The record is from Rfam.